This 247-nucleotide ribosomal RNA is filed under the name uncultured bacterium. RNAcentral's name for it is "partial 16S ribosomal RNA". It matches the Rfam family "Bacterial small subunit ribosomal RNA", at positions 15 to 251 of the family's 1533-position model. The record is from RNAcentral.
GAUCAUAGGCUCAGGAUGAACGCUAGCUACAGGCUUAACACAUGCAAGUCGAGGGGCAUCAGUUUGGUUUGCUUGCAAACCAAAGCUGGCGACCGGCGCACGGGUGAGUAACACGUAUCCAACCUACCUCAUACUCGGGGAUAGCCUUUCGAAAGAAAGAUUAAUAUCCGAUAGCAUAUAUUUCCCGCAUGGGUUUUAUAUUAAAGAAAUUCGGUAUGAGAUGGGGAUGCGUUCCAUUAGUUUUGGG